GGCCAGACUCCUACGGGAGGCAGCAGUGAGGAAUAUUGGUCAAUGGGCGCAAGCCUGAACCAGCCAAGUCGCGUGAGGGAUGACGGUCCUAUGGAUUGUAAACCUCUUUUGUCGGGGAGCAAAGCGCGGUACGAGUACCGUGAAGGAGAGUACCCGAAGAAAAAGCAUCGGCUAACUCCGUGCCAGCAGCCGCGGUAAUACGGAGGAUGCGAGCGUUAUCCGGAUUUAUUGGGUUUAAAGGGUGCGUAGGCGGGCUUUUAAGUCAGCGGUAAAAAUUCGGGGCUCAACCCCGUCCGGCCGUUGAAACUGGGGGCCUUGAGUGGGCGAGAAGAAGGCGGAAUGCGUGGUGUAGCGGUGAAAUGCAUAGAUAUCACGCAGAACCCCGAUUGCGAAGGCAGCCUUCCGGCGCCCUACUGACGCUGAGGCACGAAAGUGCGGGGAUCGAACAGGAUUAGAUACCCUAGUA
This 466-nucleotide ribosomal RNA is filed under the name uncultured bacterium. Its description in RNAcentral is "partial 16S ribosomal RNA". It matches the Rfam family "Bacterial small subunit ribosomal RNA", at positions 329 to 792 of the family's 1533-position model. The record is from RNAcentral.